RNAcentral lists this long non-coding RNA (411 nucleotides) under Gallus gallus (chicken). The record is from RNAcentral. Lineage: Eukaryota; Metazoa; Chordata; Aves; Galliformes; Phasianidae.
UGGGUCAGUAACCCGACUACGAGGAUCAGGACGUAUAAAACGCAGAGCAAACCUAAAUAUAUCAAGUAAUGUGUAAUAGGUAAAUCGGAAUGGAAGCAUUAUGAAGUAGUAACCCCAUCCUAAAAGGCCCCUUGGCUGUGGCCUUGAAACAACAUAGCUGUAGAUCCUGUGGUCUGCUGUAUUGACCUGCAACGGCCGAGAUGGGGGUGGGUUAAAGACACUUGGGACACCUUCUUGCUCAUUUAACCGGUCCUGUACAGCUGCCUCUAUAUUCCAGUUGUGCUGCUCCAGCGUGUGACGACAUUGGUCCAUGGACUCUAUGCCAGUCAAGUCCUGGAAUUGCAGCAGCUUCUCGGUCUGCUCCGCCGUCAGCUCCCGCUCCUCAGGCGCCGCCAUUUUCCUCCGCCUCUG